RNAcentral lists this long non-coding RNA (1233 nucleotides) under Homo sapiens (human). RNAcentral's name for it is "HSALNT0102499". Lineage: Eukaryota; Metazoa; Chordata; Mammalia; Primates; Hominidae. The record is from RNAcentral.
UGACGUAACUGCUACGUUGUACCCGGAUGGCCUCUUCCUCAAUCUUCAGGGGUACGCGUCUUCCGGCCAGGAUAGAAACGUUUCUGGAGAAAAUAACAGAAGUUAUUUGAAUUCAGAUAAGCUUAAAGGAAAAGAACAAAACAAAGCUAUAAAGAAAAUUGGAAGUUAUUCAUUGUCAUUCAUCAUAAACAAGCUCAGAGGCUGGGAUAUUUGGCACGAUGACAAUGAAACUGCAGGAAAUUGAGCACACUCCAAUGUUGGUGAGGACGGUCCAUCCAUUCUGCAUAUGUCUGCGUCUUUGGGACUUAGAGUCUGGCAAGUAGAAGAGGGAUUUCAUCUUGUUGGAAAAUAUAAGUUGGAAAAUCAACCCACAUGAAAUUGCAGAAGCCAAGGGGGUCUCACUCUCUCAUCCAUGCUGGAGCAUGGGGGUACAAUCAUAGCUCACUGCAACCUUGAACUCCUGGGCUCAAAGGAUCCUUCCAGUUCAUCCCCCUCUGAGUAGCUCGGAUUACAGGCAUACACCACCACGCCUGGCUGAGUUCUCAAUCUUGAAAGAUUGAUUUAGUUCUCAUGUAAAUGAAUUAGUUCCUGUGGUAGUGGGUUGUUAUAAAGCCAGGAUGCCCUUCGGUUUUCUCCUCUUCACACAUGUCUACUUUCCCAUUGCCCUUCUCCACCAUGUUGUGAUGUGGCAUGAAAGUCCUGUCCAGAAGCCAGGGCCAUGCCCUCGAAUUUCUCAGUCUGUGGAACCAUGAGCUAAAUAAACUUCCUUUAAAAUAAGUUUUUAGGUAUUCUGCUAUAAGCAACACAAAAGGUACUAAUACAGCAUUGUUUUAAAUUUGUAUGAAUUUCUUUAUUGUGUGGCUUAAUAGAAAGCUAGAUUCUUAGGUUUGUUUCUCUAAACAUUCUGUUAUAAUCUUACACAUUAAACUCUGGAAAACUCUGUUGUACACUUGUGAGAGAAUGAGAGUGAAACAGAGAAAUUAGCAUCUUGGUUUAUUAUAAAAAUAGUUUGGAUCUUUUGAAACCUUUAAAGAGUCUUAGGAAACCCUGUGGUUCUCUGGCCGUGCUUUGAGAACCACUGGUAUAGGGUAAAUCCACUGCCAAGUUAAUCUUUUGUUAUGCUAUAUGUUUUAGCUUGUUUUCAUCUACUAUUCUCUGAAUUUGAGCUUCAGCAUUUCAACGUAUUGAUUAUGAUUUUCGCUUUUUUUUUUUUUUUUUGAGACAAAGUUUUGC